UGAUCCAACCAUGCCGCGUGAGUGAGAAGGCCUUCGGGUUGUAAAGCUCUUUCGGCCGGGAAGAAAUCGCACAGGCUAAUACUCUGUGUGGAUGACGGUACCGGCAUAAGAAGCACCGGCUAACUACGUGCCAGCAGCCGCGGUAAUACGUAGGGUGCGAGCGUUAAUCGGAAUUACUGGGCGUAAAGCGUGCGCAGGCGGUUAGAUAAGUUUGAUGUGAAAUCCCCGGGCUCAACCUGGGAACUGCAUUGAAGACUGUCUGACUACAGUACGGCAGAGGGGGGUGGAAUUCCACGUGUAGCAGUGAAAUGCGUAAAGAUGUGGAGGAAUACCGAUGGCGAAGGCAGCCCCCUGGGUCGAUACUGACGCUCAUGCACAAAAGCGUGGGGAGCAAACAGGAUUAAAUACCCUGGUAGUCCACGCCCUAAACGAUGUCAACUAGUUGUUGGUAGGGUUAAACCUAUUAGUAACGUAGCUAACGCGUGAAGUUGACCGCCUGGGGGUACGGGUCGCAAGAUUAAAACU
RNAcentral lists this ribosomal RNA (525 nucleotides) under uncultured bacterium. Its description in RNAcentral is "bacterial SSU rRNA". It matches the Rfam family "Bacterial small subunit ribosomal RNA", at positions 384 to 901 of the family's 1533-position model. The record is from RNAcentral.